RNAcentral lists this ribosomal RNA (468 nucleotides) under uncultured bacterium. RNAcentral describes it as "partial 16S ribosomal RNA". It matches the Rfam family "Bacterial small subunit ribosomal RNA", at positions 28 to 507 of the family's 1533-position model. The record is from RNAcentral.
GACGAACGCUGGCGGCGUGCUUAACACAUGCAAGUCGAACGGAAAGGCCCUGCUUUUGUGGGGUGCUCGAGUGGCGAACGGGUGAGUAACACGUGAGUAACCUGCCCUUGACUUUGGGAUAACUUCAGGAAACUGGGGCUAAUACCGGAUAGGAGCUCCUGCUGCAUGGGGGGGGUUGGAAAGUUUCGGCGGUUGGGGAUGGACUCGCGGCUUAUCAGCUUGUUGGUGGGGUAGUGGCUUACCAAGGCUUUGACGGGUAGCCGGCCUGAGAGGGUGACCGGCCACAUUGGGACUGAGAUACGGCCCAGACUCCUACGGGAGGCAGCAGUGGGGACUAUUGCACAAUGGGCGGAAGCCUGAUGCAGCAACGCCGCGUGCGGGAUGACGGCCUUCGGGUUGUAAACCGCUUUCGCCUGUGACGAAGCGUGAGUGACGGUAAUGGGUAAAGAAGCACCGGCUAACUACGUG